RNAcentral lists this transfer RNA (83 nucleotides) under Intrasporangium sp. RNAcentral describes it as "tRNA-Leu". It matches the Rfam family "tRNA". Rfam says of the family: Transfer RNA (tRNA) molecules are approximately 80 nucleotides in length. Their secondary structure includes four short double-helical elements and three loops (D, anti-codon, and T loops). Further hydrogen bonds mediate the characteristic L-shaped molecular structure. tRNAs have two regions of fundamental functional importance: the anti-codon, which is responsible for specific mRNA codon recognition, and the 3' end, to which the tRNAs corresponding amino acid is attached (by aminoacyl-tRNA synthetases). tRNAs cope with the degeneracy of the genetic code in two manners: having more than one tRNA (with a specific anti-codon) for a particular amino acid; and 'wobble' base-pairing, i.e. permitting non-standard base-pairing at the 3rd anti-codon position. The record is from RNAcentral. Lineage: Bacteria; Bacillati; Actinomycetota; Actinomycetes; Micrococcales; Intrasporangiaceae.
GCCGGGGUGGUGGAAUGGCAGACACGGAGCACUCAAAAUGCUCUGGCCGCAAGGUCGUGCGGGUUCAAGUCCCGCUCCCGGCA